UUAAAUUGAAGAGUUUGAUCAUGGCUCAGAUUGAACGCUGGCGGCAGGCCUAACACAUGCAAGUCGAACGGUAACAGGAAGCAGCUUGCUGCUUUGCUGACGAGUGGCGGACGGGU
RNAcentral lists this ribosomal RNA (116 nucleotides) under Escherichia coli. RNAcentral's name for it is "partial 16S ribosomal RNA". It matches the Rfam family "Bacterial small subunit ribosomal RNA", at positions 1 to 107 of the family's 1533-position model. RNAcentral also lists the same sequence under 22 other names. The record is from RNAcentral. Lineage: Bacteria; Pseudomonadati; Pseudomonadota; Gammaproteobacteria; Enterobacterales; Enterobacteriaceae.